Non-coding RNA from Cinara cedri, 213 nucleotides. The record is from the annotation of a GenBank genome assembly. NCBI's taxonomy places the organism in Eukaryota, Metazoa, Arthropoda, Insecta, Hemiptera, Aphididae.
UUGAUAAGGAUUUGGUAAGGGGGCUAACUCUAUCUGCGCCAAAGUUCUUACAAUUAUACACGUAAAGCGCGUUCCGGCGUACUGUAUCGAAUAUCGAAACGUCGAGAGACUGUUGUAAAGUAUAAAAAGUACGGAUGGCGACCCUGACCGAACACAGGACACGAACGUGCAGUAACGAAACAUUAUUAUUAGGUAUUGUUAUUUUUAAGCACA